CAGUCGCCACGGGAAUACGAAGGGUGCAAGCGUUACUCGGAAUUACUGGGCGUAAAGCGUGUGUAGGUGGUUGUUUAAGUCUGUCGUGAAAGCCCUGGGCUCAACCUGGGAAUUGCGAUGGAUACUGGGCGACUAGAGUGCGGUAGAGGAUAGUGGAAUUUCCGGUGUAGCAGUGAAAUGCGUAGAGAUCGGAAGGAACAUCUGUGGCGAAGGCGACUAUCUGGGCCAACACUGACACUGAGACACGAAAGCGUGGGGAGCAAACAGGAUUAGAUACCCCGGUAGUCCCUGUCUCUUAUAC
This 301-nucleotide ribosomal RNA is filed under the name uncultured bacterium. RNAcentral describes it as "partial 16S ribosomal RNA". It matches the Rfam family "Bacterial small subunit ribosomal RNA", at positions 509 to 807 of the family's 1533-position model. The record is from RNAcentral.